AUUUAUAUAGUUUAACUAAAACCCCUUAUUUUCAAUAAGGAAAUAAGAUAUCAAUCUUUAUAAAUA
RNAcentral lists this transfer RNA (66 nucleotides) under Erthesina fullo. RNAcentral describes it as "tRNA-Glu". Lineage: Eukaryota; Metazoa; Arthropoda; Insecta; Hemiptera; Pentatomidae. The record is from RNAcentral.